UACGUAGGGUGCGAGCGUUAAUCGGAAUUACUGGGCGUAAAGCGUGCGCAGGCGGUUUUGUAAGCCAGAUGUGAAAGCCCCGGGCUUAACCUGGGAAUGGCAUUUGGGACUGCAAGGCUGGAGUUUGGCAGAGGAGACUGGAAUUCCUGGUGUAGCAGUGAAAUGCGUAGAUAUCAGGAGGAAUACCGAUGGCGAAGGCAGGUCUCUGGGCUAUAACUGACGCUCAUGCACGAAAGCGUGGGGAGCAAACAGG
Molecule: ribosomal RNA, 253 nt
Filed under: uncultured bacterium
Lineage: Bacteria
Also listed under: 1 other name
Description: partial 16S ribosomal RNA
Rfam family: Bacterial small subunit ribosomal RNA
Source: RNAcentral